AUGGAGAACUACUCGAGGGACUUGCUGCACGGCGUCGGCGGAGGCGAUGACAGUGAGCACAAGGCGCAGCUCUUGGAUUCACGAGCCGAGGUGGCGGACCUUAGCCUCGGGCUGUUGGUCGGGGGCGGUUCAGGAUGGAGAGGACGAGCGGCGAGGGGCUCACCAGGUCCUCGUCGGUCGCGUGCAUCCAGGAAGUGGCACCAACUAUGGUGGAUGCGGAGGCGGGGAACAACACUGAUGUGCAGCCCUCGGCGGCCACGAAGCCGCAGGGCAAUGCUCUCGGCGACCCCACAAGGGAGUGGGAGUGGAUUCCCUUUGAACAACAUCAAGGAGGAGGAGGAGCCCAUGGCAAAGCUGCGGGCAAGCUUGUUCCCAUCCCAAGACUCGAGCCAGCUCAUGCAUGGCUCUCGUGCGCUGGGUGUGCAUACAUCUCACUGGUAA
RNAcentral lists this ribosomal RNA (441 nucleotides) under Triticum aestivum (bread wheat). Its description in RNAcentral is "partial small subunit ribosomal RNA". Lineage: Eukaryota; Viridiplantae; Streptophyta; Magnoliopsida; Poales; Poaceae. The record is from RNAcentral.